Molecule: ribosomal RNA, 499 nt
Filed under: uncultured Glomus
Lineage: Eukaryota; Fungi; Glomeromycota; Glomeromycetes; Glomerales; Glomeraceae
Description: SSU rRNA
Rfam family: Eukaryotic small subunit ribosomal RNA
Source: RNAcentral
AGCAGCCGCGGUAAUUCCAGCUCCAAUAGCGUAUAUUAAAGUUGUUGCAGUUAAAAAGCUCGUAGUUGAAUUUCGGGACCAUCAUGUCGGUCGUGCCUCGGUACGUACUGGCAUUGUUGGUUUCUCCCUUCUGACGAACCAUGAUGUCAUUUAUUUGGUGUUGUGGGAAAUCAGGACUGUUACUUUGAAAAAUUAGAGUGUUUAAAGCAGGCUCACGCUUGAAUACAUUAGCAUGGAAUAAUGAAAUAGGACGUUUGAUUCUAUUUUGUUGGUUUCUAGGAUCGAUGUAAUGAUUAAUAGGGAUAGUUGGGGCAUUAGUAUUCAAUUGUCAGAGGUGAAAUUCUUGGAUUUAUUGAAGACUAACUACUGCGAAAGCAUUUGCCAAGGAUGUUUUCAUUAAUCAAGAACGAAAGUUAGGGGAUCGAAGACGAUCAGAUACCGUCGUAGUCUUAACCAUAAACUAUGCCGACUAGGGAUCGGAUGAUGUUAAUUUUUAAUG